UCCUACGGGAGGCAGCAGUAAGGAAUAUUGGUCAAUGGGCGGAAGCCUGAACCAGCCAUGCCGCGUGCAGGAUGACUGCCCUAUGGGUUGUAAACUGCUUUUGUCCGGGAAUAACCCUCCGUACGUGUAGGGAGCUGAAGACCGCAGAAUAAGAUCGCCCCCCA
Molecule: ribosomal RNA, 164 nt
Filed under: Sphingobacterium thalpophilum
Lineage: Bacteria; Pseudomonadati; Bacteroidota; Sphingobacteriia; Sphingobacteriales; Sphingobacteriaceae
Description: partial 16S ribosomal RNA
Rfam family: Bacterial small subunit ribosomal RNA
Source: RNAcentral